AGCUUUGCGAGGCUUAUCAAGAAGGACUAUAUCACAUAAGGAUGAAUUGCUACCCUCCUUGUCCUCAGCCAGAACAAGUUAUGGGGAUAACUCCACUUGCUGAUAACUCUGAAUCACUCUCUUGCUUGAGGGGGGCAACACACAGGGAUGGCAGGUUCUGAAGGAUGGUAGUGGGGUAUUUGUUGAACCAAUACAUGGUGCUAUUGUUGUAAACACGGGACAUAUUACUGAGAUAAUAAGCAAUGGGGUAUACAGAGCACCAGAUCACAGAGCAGUAGCAAACAAAUCAAAGGAGAGGCUGUCCAUCGUUACCUUCUGCUAUCCCACAUCAUCGAAGAACUUACCACGUCUGGAAGUGAACCUCUUUACAACACCCUCACCGUGGAAGAGUAUUUUCAUUCUUUUUACAAUCGAAAGCUUGAAGUUUCUGUUGGCGUGAGCUGUCAUUGAGAAAUUAUAGUAUCAGUAGAGAAAUUAUAGGAAUCCCCUGAUUUAAGGGCAAAACUUUAUUCUUGCCUUUAAACGUGUAUCGUAAAAAAUAUAAUAGAUUUUUGUGCAUUAAUAAACUUCCAAUCUCUGUAAAGAACGAUUGUAUAGAAUAUAUAUUUUCCAAAUUCUGUCA
This is a long non-coding RNA of Populus trichocarpa (black cottonwood), 622 nucleotides long. RefSeq lists it as uncharacterized. The record is from RefSeq and is a predicted model, not a curated record. NCBI's taxonomy places the organism in Eukaryota, Viridiplantae, Streptophyta, Magnoliopsida, Malpighiales, Salicaceae. The transcript is spliced from 2 exons.